GUCAAGAUAGUUAAAAUUAUAACUAAGCUCUGAAGAGGCUUGAUUGGGGCGUUGGAUUCCCCUCCUGGCA
Molecule: transfer RNA, 70 nt
Filed under: Ophiactis savignyi
Lineage: Eukaryota; Metazoa; Echinodermata; Ophiuroidea; Amphilepidida; Ophiactidae
Description: tRNA-Phe
Source: RNAcentral